RNAcentral lists this ribosomal RNA (253 nucleotides) under uncultured bacterium. RNAcentral's name for it is "partial 16S ribosomal RNA". It matches the Rfam family "Bacterial small subunit ribosomal RNA", at positions 524 to 776 of the family's 1533-position model. The record is from RNAcentral.
UACGAAGGGGGCUAGCGUUGUUCGGAAUUACUGGGCGUAAAGCGCACGUAGGCGGAUUUGUAAGUCAGGGGUGAAAUCCCGGGGCUCAACCUCGGAACUGCCUUUGAUACUGCAAAUCUCGAGUCCGGAAGAGGUGAGUGGAAUUCCUAGUGUAGAGGUGAAAUUCGUAGAUAUUAGGAAGAACACCGGUGGCGAAGGCGGCUCUCUGGACCGAUACUGACGCUGAGGCGCGAAAGCGUGGGGAGCAAACAGG